RNAcentral lists this ribosomal RNA (460 nucleotides) under uncultured bacterium. Its description in RNAcentral is "partial 16S ribosomal RNA". It matches the Rfam family "Bacterial small subunit ribosomal RNA", at positions 338 to 795 of the family's 1533-position model. The record is from RNAcentral.
CCUACGGGCGGCAGCAGUGAGGAAUAUUGGUCAAUGGACGAGAGUCUGAACCAGCCAAGUAGCGUGAAGGAUGACUGCCCUAUGGGUUGUAAACUUCUUUUAUAUGGGAAUAAAAUGUUCCACGUGUGGGAUUUUGUCUGUACCAUAUGAAUAAGGAUCGGCUAACUCCGUGCCAGCAGCCGCGGUAAUACGUAGGAUCCGAGCGUUAUCCGGAUUUAUUGGGUUUAAAGGGAGCGUAGGUGGGUUGUUAAGUCAGUUGUGAAAGUUUGCGGCUUAACCGUAAAAUUGCAGUUGAAACUGGCAGUCUGGAGUACAGUAGAGGUGGGCGGAAUUCGUGGUGUAGCGGUGAAAUGCUUAGAUAUCACGAAGAACUCCGAUUGCGAAGGCAGCUCACUGGACUGCAACUGACACUGAGGCUCGAAAGUGUGGGUAUCAAACAGGAUUAGAUACCCUAGUAGUC